RNAcentral lists this ribosomal RNA (433 nucleotides) under uncultured bacterium. RNAcentral describes it as "bacterial SSU rRNA". It matches the Rfam family "Bacterial small subunit ribosomal RNA", at positions 958 to 1392 of the family's 1533-position model. The record is from RNAcentral.
AACGCGAAGAACCUUACCCAGGCUGAACUACUAGUGGACGUAUGCAGAGAUGUAUAUUCCCUUCGGGGCCGCUAGAUAGGUGCUGCAUGGCUGUCGUCAGCUCGUGCCGUGAGGUGUUGGGUUAAGUCCCGCAACGAGCGCAACCCUUAUCACUACUUGCCAACAGGUAAUGCUGGGAACUUUAGUGAGACUGCCUGGGUUAACCAGGAGGAAGGUGAGGAUGACGUCAAGUCAGCAUGGCCCUUAUGUCUGGGGCUACACACGUGCUACAAUGGCCGGUACAGAAGGCAGCGAAGCAGCAAUGUGGAGCAAAUCUAGAAAGCCGGCCCCAGUUCGGAUUGUAGUCUGCAACUCGACUACAUGAAGUUGGAAUUGCUAGUAAUGGCGUGUCAGCAAUAACGCCGUGAAUACGUUCCCGGGUCUGUACACACCG